AGAGUUUGAUCAUGGCUCAGGAUGAACGCUAGCUACAGGCUUAACACAUGCAAGUCGAGGGGAAACGACAUCGAAAGCUUGCUUUUGAUGGGCGUCGACCGGCGCACGGGUGAGUAACGCGUAUCCAACCUGCCCAUCACUUGGGGAUAACCUUGCGAAAGUAAGACUAAUACCCAACGAUAUCUCUAGAAGGCAUCUGAAAGAGAUUAAAAGAUUUAUCGGUGAUGGAUGGGGAUGCGUCUGAUUAGCUUGUUGGCGGGGUAACGGCCCACCAAAGCAACGAUCAGUAGGGGUUCUGGAGAGGAAGGUCCCCCANAUUGGAACUGAGACACGGUCCAAACUCCUACGGGAGCA
Molecule: ribosomal RNA, 354 nt
Filed under: uncultured bacterium
Lineage: Bacteria
Description: bacterial SSU rRNA
Rfam family: Bacterial small subunit ribosomal RNA
Source: RNAcentral